UCUGUUUCAGCGGUGUUCUUUGCCUUUACUUUUAGGAGGUCCAGGCAGAUAGCAGCAGUCAAAGCCCAGUGUGCCAGGGAAUCCACUGGGAGUAUGCUAAGCCCCUGUCAGCAGCUGGCUGAUGGACUGGGUUUGCUGUGCUUGUGAGUCCUCUGGAAGUAUUACAGGACCCUGUGAUGAAGCCUACUGAUUUUGCAUUUCAAGGUCCCAUCCUGGUAACCCAGAGCAGUGGCCAAGGAGUUGUGGUGAGUCAGGGAGGUAGGGAGGAGGAGUGAGAGUCCACUCAAGUUUCAGCAAUGCCAUGUCACCCUUUCUCCACUUAAUCUAGGUGUACCCUGAGAUGAUGCUGUCGGCCUCCAAGCACGCCUGCGGUGUGUGGCCCGACCAUUCUGAGGAGAAUGGUGAGUAGCAGAAUUGUCAGGUUUUGGCCAUUGUGCUGUUACGGUUGUG
Taeniopygia guttata (zebra finch) is the source of this 450-nucleotide non-coding RNA. Lineage: Eukaryota; Metazoa; Chordata; Aves; Passeriformes; Estrildidae. The record is from RefSeq and is a predicted model, not a curated record.